GCACCCAAGAUUUCUAUCGGAGAACAUAAUAUGAAAACGUGCAAUCAACCCUAUGCCUAGAUCCCCAAGGUCAUUGGAAUCCGCAAGUUGAUGCCACAACAUAUAUCUAGUGAAUCACUUGAAUACCCCAACGUCACUACGGGUAUCCGCAUGCAAGACAUACAUCAUGUGCUCUCAAACCUAAAUAUUGAAUCCAACAUAACGAGAUCUUAGAGUGAAAGAUUCAAUUCAUCACAACAAUAGCAUGGGACAAACACCAUAUGAUCCAACUAUAUUAACAAGGCCCGUGAUAUAUCAAGAUCAUGACAUAUCAAGAGCACAAGAGAGGGAGAUUAAACACAUAGCUACUGGUACAAACCUUCAGCCCCGAGGGUGGACUACUCCCUCCUCGUCAUGGCCUCCGCCGGAAUGAUGAAGAUGGCCACUGGAGAUGAUCUCCCCCUCCGACAGGGUGCCGGAAUGGGAUCAUGAUUGGUUUUUUGUGGCUACACACGCUUGCGGGGGCGGAACUUCUCAUCUAGGGUUAUUUCUGGAGGUUUCUCUAUUUGUAGGAAUUUCUCAUGUUGGAAUCACGCUAAGAUGGGCCACGAGGUGCCGAGUAGGUACCAGGCCGCGCUAGGGGGAGGGGGGCAGGCGCGCCCUGGUGCCUAGUGGGCAGCCUGGUCUCCUCUGGUUGGCCUCCUUGGUCCUCUGGAUGCCUUCUAGGCAGAAAAAAUUCUCCAAAAAGUCACAUGGCAUUUGGACUCCGUCUGAUAUUGAUUUUCUGCGAAGUACAAAAAACAAGCAAAAAACAUCAACUCGCACUGGGCACUAUGUCAAUAGGUUGGUCCCAGGUAAUGAUAUAAAGUUGCUAUAAAAUGAUCAUAAAACAUCCAAGAAUGAUAAUAUAACAGCAUGGAACAAUCAAAAGUUAUAGAUACGUUGGACACAUAUCAGCAUCCCCAAGCUUAAUUCCUGCUCGUCCUCGAGUAGGUAAAUGAUAAAAAUUGAAUUUUUUGAUGUGGAAUGCUGCCUAACAUGUUCAUCAUAUUCUUUUCUUUUUAUCAUGGACAUAUGGACUUGUAGAUGAUGCGAAAAAAUAGUCUAUAAAUUGACAUGAAAACUUCAAUACUCAAGCAUAUCAACAAGCAAGCAAGUCUUUUAGAGUAUCAACACUAAAGAAUGUUAUCCCCAGCUCAUCAUGCUCAAUCAUUGAUCCAUUCAUGCAACACACCCACAUAUUAGCUACAUCCAAUGCUCAAGUAUGAUAAUAGUGUUCCGUAGUUGGUACUUUAUAAGAUAAGAUGGAGACUCAAAUAAAAAAUAAAAAUGCAUAAAAGUAAAUAGAUAGACCCUUCGCAGAGGGGAACAGAGAUUUGUAGAGGUACCAGAGCUCAAACCUUAAAUUGGGAGAUACAAUUAUUUUCGGUGGCAUGCUUUUCCUGUCAACAUAAACGACUAAGAGUUCCCAAUAUCUUCCAUUCUAAACAAAUCAUUGACGGUUCCAAACUGAAAAUAAAAUUUAUUCAUUUUCCACCAUUCUUUCACACUCCACGGCUAGCCCCAUCCAUGGGUACCGUCCAUACCAACACUUUCCAAGGAAUUUAUUAUUUCACAACAUAAAAUAAAUUUUAUUUACAUUUCAGGACUCGGCAUCCCUAUUGCCGGCAUACUCUCAUGCAAUGACAAGUGAAUAAACACUCAUCUUCAGAAUAACCUAUUUAACAUGGAAGAUAUCCGCCACCCUUGCCGCUUCAUGAGCGGUACAAACAAAUACCGCAUAUAUGUAGGUACGGUGGACUCAUUUGACACAACUUUGGGUUUAGGAUUUGGAUGCACAAGAAUCAUUCCCUCUUAGUACAAGUGAAGGCUAUCAAAUAGAUAGAGAAGCGCCCAACCAAGGAACGAAAAUCAUCAUAAGCGAACAUUAAACAUAACUAACACCGAAUAAUUCAACACAGGUAGGAUGCAAUUUCAUAGCAUAAUUAUUGACUUCAUGUGCAUGCAUAGGGAAUCACAAACCUUAACACCAAUAAUCUUACUACAGCUAAUUACACAUCAACACAACUCACAUAUCACAACCUUUAUAUCGCAAAACUAUUGCAAAAAAACAAGUUUAACAUCCAAUGAUCGAUAUGAAAGUUUAUAUUACAUCCUUCUUGGAUAUUCAUCAUAUUAGGACCAAAUUAUUUUAAAGAAUAUUGACAUUGCUAAUAACAAGCUCUCAAAAAAAUAUAAGUGAAGAACAGGAGCACAAGUUUCUUUAAAAUAACAACACCAUCGUGCUCAAAAAGAUAUAAGUGGAGUACUAGAGCAAUUCAAUCAAACUACUCUCAAAAGAUAUAAGUAAAGAUCAAUGAGUGAUCAAACAGUUAAGUAGAUAUGUGAGGACUCUCUCUCAAUAAAGAUUUUUAGAUCUGAUAUUUAUUUCAAACAGAAAAUAAAACAAAAGACACUCCAAGAAUAGCACAUAUCAUGCAAACAAAUACAAAUUUAGGCUCAACAUAGGCUAACCGAUAGUUGUUGAUGAAGAAAGGAGGGAUGUGUAGCAUCACCAAGCUUAGAUUCUUGAGAAUUAUUGAAAUAUUUACUUGCGGUGCCUUGGGAAUCCCCAAGCUUGAGAUUUUGUAUCUCGCUCAAUCCUCUCAUAUCCCGGUUCCACCUAAGUCUCAAAAACUUCAUCCACACAAUAGAUGAAAAGAACUCGUGAGAUAGGUUAGUGCACAUAAGCAUAAAUCAACUCUUUAUGUACUUCCAAGACAAGUUGCAUAAUAAUUUUCAAACAUUAGGUAUUGUAUACCAUCAUUUCCACAAUUUAUAUCCACUAAUAUAAGCCAUGAAAACUCUAGGAUAAGUAGAUAACAAAACUAUGACAGCAAUCUGUCCAAACAGAACAGUCUGUAGAAACAUAUAUACAAAGUGUACUUAUAUAUAUCCAAAAAUUGUGAAACUUUAGGAAGUGAUAAAAAAACUAUAUUACAUUACUGUGUAAAAAAAUCAGAAACUUUCCACAUACCAGUAAAAUCGGAUAAUUCAAAUACUACAGAAAAAGUUUCUGUUUUUGUGCAGCACACAUCACACAUGUAAUUCAAGCAUUCUAAAGGCAACUCUUGGAACUUUUUAUUUCAAAAAAGAUAAUAAAGAACAUAUAAAAUAGGACAACAAAAUAAAAUGACACUCCAAGCAAAACACAUAUCAUGUGAUGAACAAAAAUAUAGCUCCAAGUAAGAUAUACCGAUAAUGUUGGAGGUGAAAGAGGGGAUGCCUUCCGGGGCAUCCCAGGCUUAGAAACUUGAGUCUUCCUUGGAUAGUACCUUGGGGUGACUUGGGCAUCCCCAAGCUUAGGUUCUUUCUGCUCCUAAUUCUCCUCAUAUUGGUAUCUCACCCAAAUCUUGAAAACUUCAAUCACACAAAACUUAACGGAAGUUCGUGAGAUGGGUUAGUAUGAUAAAUAUAGAUCAUUCACUUUAUUAAUGCCAGGACAAGAUUCAUAAUUGUUAUCACAUGAUUCCUACUGUAUUAUAUCAUUCCCAUAAUUUAUAUGACUCAAUAUAAGCUAUGGAAACAAUAAAAGAAGCAAACUAUAUGCAUGCAAAACAGAAUUUGCCAAAAACAUAACAAUCUGUGAAGAUCUGAAUGAAAACCAUACUUACCUGACUCUAGCAAUUCUGAAUAAUUAGGAAAAUGCAUAGAAUUUGCAUACCAAAGCUGUGUAAAAAUUGCAUAAUUUUUUUAUGCUGCAGUAAAAUCAUAGAAAUUCUGCACUGGACGUAAAAGUUCUUGUUUUUGCACAGACUCAAACAAGCAAUUAUCCACACUAUCCCAAAGGCUUCACUUGGCAAUUUAUCGAAAUAAAAUAUAUAAAACAAGAUUAAUACAGUAUAUUAAUCAUAUUAAACUCAAAAACAGUAAGUUUAAUUAUUGGGUUGUCUCCCAACAAGCACUCUUCUUUAAUGCCUUUUAGCUAGGCAUGAUGAUUUCAAUGAUGCUCACAUAAAAAUAGUAACUGAAACAUGCAACAGAGCAUCAUGAAGCACAUGACAAGCACAUUUAAGUCUAACCCACUUCCUAUGCGUAGGGAGUUUGCAAGAAAACAAUUUAUUGUAGCAAGAAUUAACUUUCAUAGGAAGGCAAAAUAAGCAUAACUUCAAAAUCUUGAACACAUACACAGGACACUUGGUAUUAUUGCAGUUCCUAAAAGCAUAUGUUCCUCCCUCAUAAUAAUUUUCAGUACAAUCAUGA
This 4221-nucleotide long non-coding RNA is filed under the name Hordeum vulgare. RNAcentral's name for it is "long non-coding RNA (HVUL_LNC018361)". Lineage: Eukaryota; Viridiplantae; Streptophyta; Magnoliopsida; Poales; Poaceae. The record is from RNAcentral.